This 941-nucleotide ribosomal RNA is filed under the name uncultured Pseudomonadota bacterium. RNAcentral describes it as "bacterial SSU rRNA". It matches the Rfam family "Bacterial small subunit ribosomal RNA", at positions 9 to 950 of the family's 1533-position model. The record is from RNAcentral. Lineage: Bacteria; Pseudomonadati; Pseudomonadota.
GAGUUUGAUCCUGGCUCAUAAUGAACGCUGGCGGCGUGCCUAACACAUGCAAGUCGAGCGGUAACAGGUGUAGCAAUACAUGCUGACGAGCGGCGAACGGGUGAGUAAUGCUUCGGAAUCUGCCCAAUGGUGGGGAAUAACCAGCCGAAAGGUUGGCUAAUACCGCAUGAGCCCUACGGGGGAAAGCAGGGGAUCGUAAGACCUUGCGCCGAUGGAUGAGCCGAAGUCGGAUUAGCUAGUUGGUAGGGUAACGGCCUACCAAGGCGACGAUCCGUAGCUGGUCUGAGAGGACGACCAGCCACACUGGGACUGAGACACGGCCCAGACUCCUACGGGAGGCAGCAGUGGGGAAUAUUGGACAAUGGGGGAAACCCUGAUCCAGCGACGCCGCGUGUGUGAAGAAGGCCAGCGGGUUGUAAAGCACUUUUAGUGGGGAUGAAAAGCUCAGGGAUAACACCUCUGAGUCUUGACCUAACCCACAGAAAAAGCACCGGCUAACUCUGUGCCAGCAGCCGCGGUAAUACAGAGGGUGCAAGCGUUAAUCGGAAUUACUGGGCGUAAAGCGUGCGUAGACGGUUAUGUAAGUCGGGUGUGAAAGCCCCGGGCUCAACCUGGGAAUUGCAUUCGAGACUGCAUAGCUAGGGUGCGGAAGAGGGAAGCGGAAUUUCCGGUGUAGCGGUGAAAUGCGUAGAUAUCGGAAGGAACACCAGUGGCGAAAGCGGCUUCCUGGUCCAGCACCGACGUUCAGGCACGAAAGCGUGGGGAGCAAACAGGAUUAGAUACCCUGGUAGUCCACGCCAUAAACGAUGAGAACUACACGUUGAAGGGGUAAGCCCUGCAAUGUCGAACUAACGCGCUAAGUUCUCCGCCUGGGGAGUACGGCCGCAGGUUGAACUCAAAGGAUUGACGGGGACCCGCACACGCGUGGAGCAGGUGUUAAU